GGUGAUGUAGCUCAGAGGUAGAGUGAUGGCCUAGCAAGCGUAUGGCCCUGAGUUCAAUUCCCAGGUACUACCA
This 73-nucleotide transfer RNA is filed under the name Cavia porcellus (domestic guinea pig). It matches the Rfam family "tRNA". From Rfam's summary of the family: Transfer RNA (tRNA) molecules are approximately 80 nucleotides in length. Their secondary structure includes four short double-helical elements and three loops (D, anti-codon, and T loops). Lineage: Eukaryota; Metazoa; Chordata; Mammalia; Rodentia; Caviidae. The record is from Rfam by way of RNAcentral.